RNAcentral lists this ribosomal RNA (440 nucleotides) under uncultured bacterium. Its description in RNAcentral is "partial 16S ribosomal RNA". It matches the Rfam family "Bacterial small subunit ribosomal RNA", at positions 338 to 795 of the family's 1533-position model. The record is from RNAcentral.
CCUACGGGAGGCUGCAGUGGGGGAUAUUGCACAAUGGGGGGAACCCUGAUGCAGCGACGCCGCGUGGGUGAAGAAGCGCCUCGGCGCGUAAAGCCCUGUCAGCAGGGAAGAAAAUGACGGUACCUGAAGAAGAAGCCCCGGCUAACUACGGGCCAGCAGCAGCGGGAAUACGUAGGGGGCAAGCGUCAUCCGGAUUUACUGGGUGUAAAGGGGGCGCAGACGGCGAUGCAAGCCAGGAGUGAAAGCCCGGGGCCCAACCCCGGGACUGCUCUUGGAACUGCGUGGCUGGAGUGCAGGAGGGGCAGGCGGAAUGCGUGGUGUAGCGGUGAAAUGCGUAGAUAUCAGGAGGAACACCGGUGGCGAAGGCGGCCUGCUGGACUGCAACUGACGUUGAGGCCCGAAAGCGUGGGGAGCAAACAGGAUUAGAUACCCCUGUAGUC